CUCCUACGGGAGGCAGCAGUAGGGAAUUUUCGGCAAUGGGGGCAACCCUGACCGAGCAACGCCGCGUGAGUGAAGACGGCCUUCGGGUUGUAAAGCUCUGUUGUAAGGGAAGAACGGUAGAUAGAGAAUAUCUAAGUGACGGUACCUUACCAGAAAGCCACGGCUAACUACGUGCCAGCAGCCGCGGUAAUACGUAGGUGGCGAGCGUUAUCCGGAAUUAUUGGGCGUAAAGGGUGCGUAGGCGGCCUGUUAAGUAAGUGGUUAAAUUGUUGGGCUCAACCCAAUCCAGCCACUUAAACUGGCAGGCUAGAGUAUUGGAGAGGCAAGUGGAAUUCCAUGUGUAGCGGUAAAAUGCGUAGAUAUAUGGAGGAACACCAGUGGCGAAGGCGGCUUGCUAGCCAAAGACUGACGCUCAUGCACGAAAGCGUGGGGAGCAAAUAGGAUUAGAUACCCUAGUAGUCCACGCCGUAAACGAUGAAUACUAAGUAUUGGGGAAACUCAGUGCUGCAGCUAACGCAAUAAGUAUUCCGCCUGUGGAGUAUGCACGCAAGUGUGAAACAUAAAGGAAUUGACGGGGGCCCGCACAAGCGGUGGAGUAUGUGGUUUAAUUCGACGCAACGCGAAGAACCUUACCAGGCCUUGACAUCCCUUGCAAAGCUGUAGAGAUACAGUAGAGGUUAUCAAGGAGACAGGUGGUGCAUGGUUGUCGUCAGCUCGUGUCGUGAGAUGUUGGGUUAAGUCCCGCAACGAGCGCAACCCUUGCCUUCAGUUACCAGCAUUUAGUUGGGGACUCUGGAGGGACUGCCGGUGAUAAACCGGAGGAAGGUGGGGAUGACGUCAAAUCAUCAUGCCCCUUAUGGCCUGGGCUACACACGUACUACAAUGGCUGUUACAACGUGCAGCGACCUAGCGAUAGGAAGCGAAUCACUAAAAGACAGUCUCAGUUCGGAUUGAAGUCUGCAACUCGACUUCAUGAAGCUGGAAUCGCUAGUAAUCGCGGAUCAGAAUGCCGCGGUGAAUACGUUCUCGGGCCUUGUACACACCGC
Molecule: ribosomal RNA, 1046 nt
Filed under: uncultured bacterium
Lineage: Bacteria
Description: bacterial SSU rRNA
Rfam family: Bacterial small subunit ribosomal RNA
Source: RNAcentral